GCCAGCCAGGCAAAUCGCCAGAGGGAAUGCAAGCCAGGCAAACAGAACAGCAAGUGCAUAUUCCUGAGUGAGAAAGAAGCGGCCAUGCUUAAGGAGAGAAGGUGGCCACAUGGCAGAGUGCAAGACAGCAUGAAAUAGAUGAGCUCACCAAAAGAUCGUCAGGGACCAGACCAGCAUGUGCCUGGGCUUGGAGACAGGGAGGCAUGAAAAAAUUGGAGGCUACUUCGGCAACCUUCCUCAUGUGAUCUGGACCACGAUGGUGGAAGUAGAAACGGAUGCAUGGAUAAACAGAUACAACAUUUACUGCAAUUGCCAAAGAAGCUGCCCAUCACUGUCACGCCAGCUGCACAGUCUUCACUGAGGGAGCUUCCAAGUGCCAUUUUAUUAAUGUGGAGAGAAGAAUAACAGAUCAUAAAUGUUUGAGGUCUAUCCAGCCGGAGUACAGGGGAUUAUCUAUUAUCCUGUGAGCUCGUGUUUUAUUCAUCUUCGUGUUCCCGUGAAUUAUACAGUGCAAAAACUGCUUAGAAGGCUUCCCCUCCUAGACAGCCCAACAGCACCUCAACCUCAGCCGGAAUGAAACUGAAUGUGUUACUGCGCACCCAAACAGAGCUUCUCUUCCUGCUUUCUCUCUCCUGGUAAAUGUGGCACUGCCAUUCCAAAUCUGGCAUGCAUCCUAAGAUCCUUUCUCUCCCUUAUCCCCAUCUCCCAUUCAACUGGUUUCUAUAUAAUGCUACCUCUCCUAAUGUCUCUCACACCUAUAUCCUCUUCACUUUCUGUGGGGUUUGACCAGAAGCUCCUAAUCAAAUCUUGUCCGCAAACCUACCCUUUUUUGGUCUACCUUCAACAUUCCUAUCAGAGGCAUCAUUAUAAAACAAAAACAUGAUUAUGUCACUGACCUGCUUAAAACCCUUCUUUGGCCCACCAUUGCCUAGAGUUCUCUUGAGUUCAAGCUCAGCAUCAUCCCAAACCUGCAAAGCCCCACCAUGAACUGGCCUCUCAUCUCCAGCCAGUCAUCUCCAAGCAUGGAAGCUGUAGUCAAAUGACCUGCCAAGCAUGCGCACUGAGUCUAGGAGACUUCACUUUCACCCUGCACUUUGGUCCCACCCACACUCAUUAUCUUCCUGGAGAUCUCCAAAUCAUCCCACCUCUACCAUCCCCUCUUCUAAGAAAGCUUCUCUCACACAGUCACCAUCCUUUGCCAGGGCCCCAGGGCAGAAGUCAUCUGUCCCUCUUUUUAUGAAACUAUUCUAUCUUUGUUUACCACCAUAAGAAUUCUUGACCAGGCGCAGUGGCUCACACCUGUAAUCCCAGCACUUUGAGAGGCCAAGGCAGGAAGAUCCCCUGAGGUCAGAAGUUCGAGACCAGCCUGGCCAACAUGGCAAAAUCCCAUCUCUACUAAAGGUACAAAAAUUAGCUGGGUGUGGUGGUGGGCACCUGUAAUCCCAGCUACUCAGCAGGGUGAGGCAGGAGAAUCGCUUGAACCCAGAAGGCAGAGGUUGCAGUGAGCCAAGGUCACACCACUGCACUCCAGCCUGGGCAACAAGAGUGAGACUCCAUCUCAAAAAAGAAAAGAAAAGAAAAAGAGUUCUUAUCCCAUUGUAUUAAAGGCAAAUAUUUGUAUACUACUUAAGGGCAGGGCUGUUGCCUAAUUCAAUUCUCUCUUCAGCACCCAAGACUUUAUACAUAAUAGGCACUCUUUAAACAUUUACAUAAAUUAUACAUAUUUUAAACACAAAAUGAUUGAAUUUUAAAAUGUGUUUCCAACUUAAGGGCAGGGAUGUUGCCUAAUUCAAUUCUCUCUUCAGUACCCCAGACUUUAUACAUAAUAGGCACUCUUUAAACAUUUACAUAAGUUAGAGUAUACAUAUUUUAAACACAAAAUGAUUGAAUUUUAAAAUGUGUGUCCAGCCUGGACAACAAAGUGAGACUCCAUCUCUACAAAAACAAAAACAAAAAAAAAAACACUUUUAAUUAGACAGGUGCAGUGGAACGUGUCUGUAGUUCCUACUCGAGAGGCUGAGGCAGGAGGAUCACCUGAGCCCAACCUGGGUGACAGAGUAAGACUCCAUCUUAAAAUACAUAUAUAUAUUUUAAAUGUGUCAAUGCUGGAAGAUUUUUGCUUCUCUAUUCUCAACUGCAUGAGUACAGUAACUCUACUUAUAGAAUCUGACAACUGGCAUUUGAAAGACAUAUAAAUACAUAUAUACCAAUAUAUAGGGGCAUGUGUAUGUGUCCCAGAAACUUACAAUCAAUUUCAUUAUGGCAUGGUUACACUUUACACACAAAAAGUAGGUUGGCACUUGACAGGUGUAUGUGGAUAUACAUGAUGAGAUUUAAAGAGCCCAAGAUGAAGAUAUAAGUCUCAACGUUCCUUUAAAUGAGAUUAAAAUAAUUUUUCCUCACUUUAGUUUUAUUUCUCUUUUGUAUAUCAAAACUUUUGCCUAUAGAAAUUUCUUGAAAUCAGAAGUUUAAAGACUUCUUUGGUCAAUGAUUGGUGAAUGGGUUAAAGUGCUCUACAGCAUUUGGCUUACCAACCUGGAUGCCUAGCUUACCAACAUUGAUUCCAUUUGUUGAAGCUGUUGGACAACUAAUGGCUAUUAAGUCUAUCACGAUGACCUUCAAAGUCUUUUAUUUUUUCCCCUUAAAGCUUCAAACUGGAAAUUUUUGUGAGCUACUUUGAGAUAUU
This 2686-nucleotide long non-coding RNA is filed under the name Homo sapiens (human). Its description in RNAcentral is "HSALNT0115565". The record is from RNAcentral. Lineage: Eukaryota; Metazoa; Chordata; Mammalia; Primates; Hominidae.